AGGUGAUUGCCUGGGAAAGGCUUUCAUAGGGUAGAGUGAUCUGGUCGAGAGGAAUAUGAGUUCACUCUCAAUGAAAGCACCGAUUAUUGGAAUCAAAUUUGCUCACUGCCACAAAUGGUGGAGGAACAAACUCAAGCUACCUGUAAAACAGAGAACAACUGUGGGCCAGUUUAAGACUGGGGGAGGGGGUGUAACGGCCAAAUUGACAGGUUAAUCUUGAACUUGCUUUGAAAUAGAGAAACACAAGGUUAUUUGUAAAAAUACAUAAAGUAAUUAAGUACUUAUCUUGAAUAUUUAAAAUUAUUAAAAAAGAAACACACACACAUACACACAUUUACCGAUAGCUUUACCAUCAACUCCUCCUUCACUUCGAUAUUCCUCCAUCGAUCGGUAAUCAUGAGACAGUUUAUG
This 411-nucleotide long non-coding RNA is filed under the name Malus domestica (apple). Its description in RNAcentral is "long non-coding RNA (MDOM_LNC013125)". Lineage: Eukaryota; Viridiplantae; Streptophyta; Magnoliopsida; Rosales; Rosaceae. The record is from RNAcentral.